AUUGAACGCUGGCGGCAUGCCUUACACAUGCAAGUCGAACGGCAGCGGGGACUUCGGUCCGCCGGCGAGUGGCGAACGGGUGAGUAAUGUAUCGGAACGUACCUUUCAGUGGGGGAUAACGUAGCGAAAGUUACGCUAAUACCGCAUAUUCUGUGAGCAGGAAAGCAGGGGAUCGCAAGACCUUGCGCUGAUUGAGCGGCCGAUAUCAGAUUAGCUAGUUGGUGAGGUAAAGGCUCACCAAGGCGACGAUCUGUAGCGGGUCUGAGAGGAUGAUCCGCCACACUGGAACUGAGACACGGUCCAGACUCCUACGGGAGGCAGCAGUGGGGAAUUUUGGACAAUGGGGGCAACCCUGAUCCAUCCAUGCCGCGUGAGUGAAGAAGGCCUUCGGGUUGUAAAGCUCUUUCGGCCGGGGAGAAAUCGUAUGGGCUAAUACCCUGUGCGGAUGACGGUACCGGCAUAAGAAGCACCGGCUAACUACGUGCCAGCAGCCGCGGUAAUACGUAGGGUGCGAGCGUUAAUCGGAAUUACUGGGCGUAAAGCGUGCGCAGGCGGUUUUGUAAGACAGGCGUGAAAUCCCCGGGCUCAACCUGGGAACUGCGCUUGUGACUGCAAGGCUAGAGUAUGGCAGAGGGGG
This 637-nucleotide ribosomal RNA is filed under the name uncultured bacterium. RNAcentral's name for it is "bacterial SSU rRNA". It matches the Rfam family "Bacterial small subunit ribosomal RNA", at positions 28 to 660 of the family's 1533-position model. The record is from RNAcentral.